Molecule: small nucleolar RNA, 69 nt
Organism: Marmota marmota marmota (Alpine marmot)
Lineage: Eukaryota; Metazoa; Chordata; Mammalia; Rodentia; Sciuridae
Source: Ensembl
UGCUGGUGGUGAAGCGUCCUCUCCCAGAGCUCUGGGCCUUGCCAGGGGUAAGCUGGACAGGUCACAGCA